UACGGAGGGGGUUAGCGUUGUUCGGAAUUACUGGGCGUAAAGCGCACGUAGGCGGAUUAGUCAGUCAGAGGUGAAAUCCAACAACUCAAGUGUUGGGCUGCCGAAGAUACUGCAAGACUAGGGAAUGGGAGAGGUAGACGGUACUCGAUAGGAAGGGGUAAAAUCCUUUGAUCUAUUGAUGACCACCUGUGGCGAAGGCGGUCUACCAGAACAUGUUCGACGGUGAGGGAUGAAAGCUGGGGGAGCAAACCGG
This 253-nucleotide ribosomal RNA is filed under the name uncultured archaeon. RNAcentral's name for it is "partial 16S ribosomal RNA". It matches the Rfam family "Bacterial small subunit ribosomal RNA", at positions 524 to 776 of the family's 1533-position model. The record is from RNAcentral.